RNAcentral lists this signal recognition particle RNA (309 nucleotides) under Helianthus annuus (common sunflower). RNAcentral's name for it is "Metazoan signal recognition particle RNA". It matches the Rfam family "Plant signal recognition particle RNA". Lineage: Eukaryota; Viridiplantae; Streptophyta; Magnoliopsida; Asterales; Asteraceae. The record is from RNAcentral.
ACCGGGCUUGGUAACGCUUGCCUGUAACUCAAGUGAGGGUAUUAAAGAUGAUUGGAUAGUGGUUCAGCCCAGUCAGUUUGGCUCCAUUGGUGCACAAACUGGCUUGCCCGUUCCAAGUCAUGAGUUGGACCAUGUGGCUUGAGCGAAGGCUUGUGUCACGUGGUUCCUGAAGCAGGGGGCACUGCGUAAGGCUGGCUUCACAGAGCUGCGAAAACCCCUCACUCAUGACAGUGGAAGGAUAACGCGCCGGGGCUCCAUGGCUCCACAAUAACCUGCCUGGGCUGUCUCAAAUGAACAACCAUCAUUUUU